This 3585-nucleotide long non-coding RNA is filed under the name Homo sapiens (human). RNAcentral's name for it is "HSALNT0306849". The record is from RNAcentral. Lineage: Eukaryota; Metazoa; Chordata; Mammalia; Primates; Hominidae.
UAACUAGCCUAGAAUGUUCUGUUUCCUCUUAAGUCUCUACACACACAUUUUGAUAUUUCAUUUCUAGAAUGGUAGACUAUACAUGUUAGCAAUCGUGGGAAUCACUUUUUAUGUAAUAACAUACUUGAGUGUAUGGCAUACAGUGUGAUUGGGAAUAAAGAUGGAGAAACUGUUCUUUACAAUAUUCCAUGAUGAUCUGCAGGGGCUUUUUUUGUUUGUUUUUUAAAAUCAUUAAGGCAUUUCUCUUUAAGAUUGCUUUAUUUUAUUUAGGACUUUAUCUUAUCUUUAUGUUUCUUUUUUUCACAGUCCAUAUUUUUCUCCCCUUUCUCUUUCUCUCCCUGCCUCCCACCAUGCACACACGCACACACACACACACACACACUUCCUCCAAGCAUAUUGAUUUAUUGAAAAUCAAGGUGACUUCUGGUGUUGGAGAUAAGCAGGCCCACACUUGUUGGUGUGGUUCUUUGCAUGAACUGCCUCCUUUUCCUGACACUAAGGCACAGCUGAGUGGAGGGAAGAAGAUAGCAGUGACUUCUCCUAUCCUCUAGGUCAUUGGCUUCACAUUAGAAGCACCAGAGGAGUUUUAAAAAUUAUCAUUCUCAGAUUCACACCCCAUCCCAAAUAAAUCAGGAUGUGAGUAUCUUGUGUUGAGAUACACAUAUCUGUACUUUUUAAAGAUUCUUAAGUGAUUCCAGUGUGCUGCAAAGUCUGCGCUGCGAAGUCUGGGAGACACUCUAGGUUUUUUGUUUGUUUUUAUAAUGAAACAGUAGUUUUUUUUUUUUUUUUGAAGUUUAACAGCUAUUAAUGGUGGCAUAGUACCUUGUAGGUAGUUUUUCAAUCCUCACCCUCCUUCUAACCCCUACCCUCAAGUAGGACCCUGUGUGUAUUGUUCCCUUUCUUCUAUCCAUGUGUACUCAGUGUUUACUUCCUACUUAUAAGUGGAAACGUGAUAUUUGGUUUUCUGUUCCUACAUUAAUUUGAUUAGGAUAAUGGCCUCCAGCUGCAUCCAUGUUGUGCAAUGGACAUGAUUUUUUUUAAUGGCUAUAUAGAAUCCCAUGAUGUAUAUGUACUGCAUUUGCUUUAUCCAGUCUACCAUUGGUGGGUAUAUAGGUUGAUUCAAUGUCUUUGCUAAUAUGAAUGGUGCUGUGAGGAACAUACAAAUACAUGUUUCUUUUUGGUAGAACGAUUUAUAUUCCUUUGAGUAUAUACCCAGUAGUGGGAUUGCUGGGUUGAAUAGUAGUUCUGUUUUAAGUUCUUUGAGAAAUCUCCAAAUUGAUUUCCACAGUGGCUGAACUAAUUUACAUUCCCACUAGAAGUGUAUAAGCUUUACUCUGUAACCUUGCCAACAUGUUAUUUUCUGACUUUUUAAUAAUAACCAUCCUGACUGGUGUGAGAUGGUAUCUCAUUGUGGUUUUGAUUUGCAUUUCUCUAAUAAUUUGUCAUGCUGAGCAUUUUUUUUUAUAUGCUUGUUGGCUACUUGUAUGUCUUCUUUUGAGAAGUGUCUGUUCAUGUCCUUUGCCCAUUUUUUAAUGGGGUUGUUUGCUUUUUGUUGUUGAGUUUUGUUUAAAUUCCUUAUAGAUUCUGGAUAUUAGAAUUUUGUCAGAUGAAUAGUUUGCAAAUAUUUUCACCCAUUCUGUAGGAUGUCUGUUUACUCUGUUGAUAGUUUCUUUAGCUGUGCAGGAGCUCUUUAGUUUCAUUAGGUCCCAUUUGUGUAUUUUUGGUUUUGUUGCAUUUGCUUUUGGAGACAUUGUCAUGAACUCUUUGCCAAGGUCUAUGUCCAGAAUGGUAUUUCCUAGGUUUUCUUCUAGGGUUGUUGUAGUUUUAGGUCUUACAUUGAAGUGUUUAAUCCAUAUUGAGUUGAUUUUUGUGUAUGGUAUAAGAAGGGGUCCAGCUUCAAUCUGCUGCAUAUGGCUAGCCUGUUAACCCAGCACCAUUUAUUGAACAGGCAGUCCUUUCUGCAUUGCUUGUUGUUGUCGACUUUGUCAAAUAUCAGAUGGUUGUAGGUGUGCAGCUUUAUUUUUGGGUUCUGUAACCUGUACCAUUGGUCUAUGUGUCUGUUUUUGUAUCAGUACCAUGCUGUUUUGGCUACUGUAGCCUUGUAGUAUAGUUUGAAGUCAGGUAGCCUGCUGCCUCUGGCUUUAUUCUUUUUGCUUAGGAUUGCACUGGCUUUGGGGGCUUUUUUUUGGUUCCAUAUGAAUUUUAAAAUAUUUUUUCUAAUUCUGUGAAAAAAUGAUGUUGGUAGUUUGAUAGGAGUAGCAUGGUCACCUUUUAGAACUGGCAGUUUAUCUCCUUGACUAUAAGAGAAAAGUGACCUGAAGUACAUUGUCUUCUCAAUUUUUGUAUAAAAGAAGCAUUUGUACUCUUCCUCCAGUUCAUCAUGAUAAAACAUGAUGAUUACUGCUAUAUCUGGAAACUCUGCAAUCAUCCAUAAGGUAGCUUUUAUCUAGAUAGACUGAAAUUGGAAGGUUGUCUGUAAAUAAUAUAUGUUUGACAUCUGAUGUCAUUCUUAAAAGAAUAAAUGCCAGAGCAUCAAGAAUAGUCCCAAUCCAUGGAACAAUACAGAAUUCUAACGGUGGGAAGUCUGUAUAAGCAAUGCCAUCCAUAUACCAUAUUUUAAUUCUGUUAUAGAGGGAUUACCUCUAAAUAUGUCAGAUGGAAAAAUUUCUUCCUCUCAAUAUAGGCCAGAUACAAGCAGCUUACUUACUCACACAGCUUCAUAGUCCAUGGCAGCCUCCCAAGUCAUUCAUUUUUAAGUAGUUGCAUCUAUUUGAGUCAUGAUGUGAACAUUACCCAGCAAACUGAGUCACAAAUUAAUUUACAUAUUUGAGAAGUUGUUGUAUUCGGUAUAUUGCAAUAGAAAUAUCAUAGAAACUUGGUAUUCUUGUUUCACUCAGAUUCAGAAUUCACUAAAGUAUGACGAGUUAUUAUUGCUAUUAUUAUCCCUAGGAAUAAGUUAAUAUUAAUUGAUUGCAUUUGUGUUUUACAUAAUAUUUAUAUGUGGGAACAUUAUACCAUAACUAGAAGAUAGAAUGCAAUGAGAAACAUAAUUGUAGAAUAUGAAAAUUCACCAGCUGUAGGAUUCAAAAUGGUUAAAAUUCAAAAAGAUAAAAGGAAAAUGCUUGGUUAAAUAUACUGGGAUUUUCUAAGCUUACAGUAUUAGAAAAGCCAUAUAGUUUUUGUUAUGUACAAAUAAUUUAGCUUACACAAUCUUUAGAAAUCUUUGGGUUCUGGGAUUUAAAAAUAAAAGGAAACCAACAAGAAGAAAAGUUAAAGUUACUGAUUCGACUUAGUUUUUAUACUACAUAGUACCCACCUCUCCAAAUGCAAUAUUUCAUGUAAGCUGGAAUUAAGUAUUUAUUAAUGUUCAAGAAACUAGGCAGUCAUAUGAUCGUGGCUUAUUAUAGCUUACUCCUAAAUUUAGAAGUGUUCCCAGAUUGAAAAAUGGUAAAAAGAUUAGAGAACAAAUGCACAGUUUUUAGUUUUUUCCUUGUUUUAGAUUUAUUAUAUUUUUUGAAACUAGAUUUUAUUAUCCUAAUCAUACUGUAUUGAACCUUUUAAGAGAAUAAAAUAAGAUUGUGUUAG